Molecule: ribosomal RNA, 252 nt
Filed under: uncultured bacterium
Lineage: Bacteria
Description: partial 16S ribosomal RNA
Rfam family: Bacterial small subunit ribosomal RNA
Source: RNAcentral
GCAAGUCGAACGUGAAGCUCCAGCUUGCUGGAGUGGAAAGUGGCGCAAGGGUGAGUAACACGUGAGUAAUCUGCCCCCGACUUCGGGAUAGCCCCGGGAAACUGGGAUUAAUACCGAAUGUGGUUUGUCCUGCACAUGCAGGACUCUACUAAAGAUUGAGUUCGGUCGGGGAUGAGCUCGCGGCCCAUUAGCUUGUUGGUAAGGUAACGGCUUACCAAGGCUACGACGGGUAGGUGGUCUGAGAGGAUGGUC